GUUGCCCCUAAACACUGAUCUAGGAUCAGAUUCCACCCCCAGAUUCUAACCUUAAAUGAUAAUGGGGAAAAUGAAAAAUGUAUCUAAAGACCGAACGUAUGUGCUCGCAUACACCCCUAAAAGACCUUUGCUUGAAAAAAUAGAAAUAGUACUGUUUGUCCAUUUGGAAUGCCGUAGCCAGUACACACUUCCUCAAAAUAAUCAGAAUGAAUCUAAAAUAACUUUAGAAAUCUGUCAUACAUUUUUACGUUUUUGCCGAGGAGAUCUUAGUCGCGCAGUUUUACAGUGGUGGGAAAAGUACUCAAUUGUCGUGACUUAAGUGAAAGUAAAAUACUACUUAAGUAAAAGGCUAAAAGUAUUUGGUUUUAAAUAUACUCAAGUAUCAAAAGUAAAUGAAAUUGCUAAAAUAUACUUAAGUAUCAAAAGUAAAAAAUCAUUUUAAAUUCCUUCUAUUAAGCAAACCAGACGGCGUAAUUUUCUUGUAGUUUUAAUUAACGGAUAGCCAGGGGCACACUCCAACAUAAUUUACAAACUACUCAUUUGUGUUUAGUUCGUCCGCCAGAUCAGAGGCAGUAGGGAUGACUAGGGAUGUUCUCUUGAUAAGCGCGUUUAAUUUGACAAUUUUCCUGUCCUGCUAAGCAUUCAAAAUGUAGCGGGUAGUUUUGGGUGUCAUGGAAAAUGUUUGGUCAUAAAAAGUAUAUUAUUUUCUUUAGGAAUGUAGUGGAGUAAAAGUAGUAAAAAAAUAUAAAUAGUAAAGUACAAAUAGCCCCAAAAACGAAUUAAGUAGUACUUUAAAGUAUUUUUACUUAAGUACUUUACACCACUGCAAUUUUACAUCUAACUAAGAUGUUUGGUGCAGUAUUUCACAAUGAAAGAAUUUGCAUGAAAACGUGUCAUUUCUCAUUGAAUGACAACAGACUUUAUAGAGCCCCACAGUGGAGGUGUUAUAAUACCCAUAAAACCUAGCGGUCAAACCGGGAAAUGGUUCCAGUCGUUUUUCCACCAUACAUUUUUCCCAUAGGGGAUUUUAGAUACACUUAAAAUAAGGGCUGUGUUUCGUGUAGGCUUACCCUGGUGUGAUGUUUUGAUAACCAUGUAAAUCUCUAUUGGACAAGGUGACUUUUAUCAAUAUAUUCGGCUCUAUUUACUUUGAUUCUAAAAUGCUAAUUAGCAUCAAAGUUGACAUCAUGCAAGACUACAAAUCCCUGCAAGCUCCUGCACGUCACCUGUUGCUGACAUCUUUGUAUUGUGUUCAUUUAAAACGUGCACAAGACCGUAAACAGAAUUGUCAAUUUAAAUUAAAUGUUAAUGUAUUCAUUAGUACAUUUAGCUAACAUUAGAUAAUUAAUAUGCACAAACACAUCCAAACUGUUUUGGCUGGGAAACAUGCGGACUCCUUAAGAUCAGCGUCCGGGGCAACUUCUCCUGACUUAAUGUUUAUGUCCCAAAUGGCACCCUAUUUCCUACAUAGUGCACUACUUUGGGUCCUGGUCAAAAGUAGAGCACUACAUAGGAAAUAGGGUGCCAUUUGGGAUGCAUCCCAUAUAAAUACUGUACAUAUCUGAGAGAGACUAAAAAGUGUGCUCAUUUGCACCCAGCACAAUCUCAACUGAAGCCUGAUGUGAGGGCAGGUGAGGUGAUGUGAGGUGAUAUGAGGGCAGGUGAGGUGAGGGCAGGUGAGGUGAGGUGAGGGCAGGUGAGGUAAGGUGAGGGCAGGUGAGGUGAGGGCAGGCCUGUCUUGGUUUGGACCUGUUCUACUGCUUCUGACCUACUGUUUUGAUGUCUCUAAUGUUCUUCUAAGCUGUUGAAAUAACAAGCUUUUCUAAUCAAAGUGCUUGUCUGUCGUGUAACUUUUCCAUAAGCACACAGCUCACACCUUCAAGAUAAUUCUCUGAGAUGAUCAUUUUCUCCAGUGUGAGGAUCAUCAAAGCAAGACAGUGCCGAUCUGAUGUUACUUCUUCAACUCAGCCCAUUUUGUUGUCAAUACAGAAGAUCAUUCAGUCACAUUUAUUCAUUCACUCAGAGGGAGAGAACAUUUCAACACUGCUUAUUCUACCACUCAUCUCAACAGUUUUUCUGUUGUAGAGUUAUGUUUUUGUUGAAAAGGUAACAGCAGCUACACCACAUUUACUUAAAGAGGAUCCUUUGAGCCAACAUCCUGUCAGCCGGCCCAUAAACACCUCAAGGGGACAGUUCAGCAGGCCGUAGGGAGGGGAGGGGGGUAAACAGGCCUGUAGCCCUUCCAGUCAAUACAAGCAGAGAAGAAGAGGGGGGAAGUCAGGAAGGGAGGGAGGAGGGGAGGAGGGAUACAGAGGCUAUUCUCCCUCUGAUGUAGUCCUGUUGACAAUGGGAGGAGGGCUUGACACCUUGCUCUUGGUUCUAGCAGGUAGAUUGCUCCUCCUGUCCUAUCCUCUCUAGCCCUGACUGGAGACUGAUGGUGGUGGGAGACAGAGGUUGUAUCCCAAAGUUCCUAUCUAGAACAUUACGUUUGACCAGGGCCCAUAGUGUCCUGACCUCUCCUGUCUUGAGGGGAGAUCUUCCCUCCCUGUGUCUCCUUGUCUCGCUCCCUCCCUGUCUUCUCUCCCUCCCUGUCUUCUCUCCUUCCCUCCCUGUCUUCUCUCCUUCCCUCCCUCCGUCUUCUCUCCUUCCCUCCCUCCGUCUUCUCGCCUUCCCUCCCUCCCUCCGUCUUCUCGCCUUCCCUUCCUCACUGUCUCCUCUCCCUCCCUGUCUUGUUCUCACCCUCCCUUCCUGUUCUCCCUCCCUCCUUCCCUCCCUGUCUUCUCGCUCUCCCUCCCUGUCUUCUCAUCUGCCCUCCCUUCCUGUCUUCUUCUCUCCUUCCCUCGCUCCCUGUUUUCUCUUCUCCCUACCUCCCUUCCCUCCCUCCCUUCCCUCCCUC
RNAcentral lists this long non-coding RNA (2896 nucleotides) under Salmo salar (Atlantic salmon). Its description in RNAcentral is "lncRNA (ENSSSAG00000121734.1)". The record is from RNAcentral. Lineage: Eukaryota; Metazoa; Chordata; Actinopteri; Salmoniformes; Salmonidae.